GGGCCGCAAGGGCAGGGCCGUGCUUGUGCUGUCUCUGUGUCACGUCAUCCAGCCGUGCAGACCUCAGCACUGUUUGCCCCAGAACUGCAGCUCACUCGUCUUCUAAGCCGGCACUUCUCAAGAGGACUUCAGGGCUCCCUUCCUUUGUUGGUGGAGCUCAUCUCUGUGGCAUCCGUGGCCUGGAGCCCCAUGGCCUCAUCCUGUGACCUCAGGGUCAUGCUGUCAUUUAUUCAUUUGUUCCCAAACACCCACUUCCCCUUGGAAUGACUGCAGGAGGCCUCAGCACAGGGACAGGCCGUGGUCACUACACACAGAUGGAAUGUCAGUGCUGGGGUAUCUGGGGAGGAGCUCUGAGAGGAGGAGGCUGAGGAUCUUGAAGCCCCUGCCCCAUGUCCCUGACACAGGCUGGGCUGCGAGAUUGGGAGCGGGGGACUCGGGGCCCUUGUGGAGCUGACAGGUGGCCCCGAUAUCAUCACCCUGAGGCUGGUGGGGUUCUUUCCCCUGUGCUGCUUGGGGGUGCGGGGCCAUCUGUGAGGCUCAAGGACUGAGCGGGGGCCCAGGGAGGUCUCAGGGACU
Molecule: small RNA, 576 nt
Filed under: Pongo abelii (Sumatran orangutan)
Lineage: Eukaryota; Metazoa; Chordata; Mammalia; Primates; Hominidae
Description: sense intronic
Source: RNAcentral